GAAUGAAUGAAUUCAAUUCGAGAAAUGAGCUGGUCCGCAAGGAGAAGAACUGUUUUCAAAGAAAACUUUCGAUUGCAAAAAUUAAACAAGUCUUCCAACGAAGGACCCAAUAAAUCCAUCACCAUAGCGUUGUAAUCACAUUCUACACCGAACCAACGAACAAACGGGAUUCCGACCCCUCCUGACAAAAUGCGAUAAACUCUGUAUUCAUACUCCAAUUGAGGGUGUUUAGCACGAGUUGAUUCUAGCUUGAUAGCGACCUCUUCACCAGAAACGACAUUAGUCCCAA
Non-coding RNA from Schizosaccharomyces pombe (fission yeast), 289 nucleotides. The record is from the annotation of a GenBank genome assembly. Lineage: Eukaryota; Fungi; Ascomycota; Schizosaccharomycetes; Schizosaccharomycetales; Schizosaccharomycetaceae.